UACGGAAGGGGCAAGCGUUGUUCGGAAUCAUUGGGCGUAAAGGGCGCGUAGGUGGUUCUGUAUGUCUACCGUGAAAGCGUACGGCUCAACCGUAUUUUGUCGGUGGAAACUGCAGGACUUGAGGCUGGGAGGGGCUGGUGGAAUUCCCUGUGUAGCGGUGAAAUGCGUAGAGAUGGGGGAGAACACUCGUGGCGAAGGCGGCCAGCUAGACCAGUUCUGACACUGAGGCGCGACAGCGUGGGGGAGCAAACAGG
This 254-nucleotide ribosomal RNA is filed under the name uncultured bacterium. RNAcentral's name for it is "partial 16S ribosomal RNA". It matches the Rfam family "Bacterial small subunit ribosomal RNA", at positions 524 to 776 of the family's 1533-position model. The record is from RNAcentral.